UACGGGAGGGGGCUAGCGUUGUUCGGAUUUACUGGGCGUAAAGCGCACGUAGGCGGCGUAUCAAGUCAGAAGGUGAAAGGCCUGGGCUCAACCUAGGAACGGCUUUGAUACUGGUAUGCUUGAGUUCGGAAGAGGGUAGUGGAAUUACCAAGUGUAGAGGUUGAAAAUUCGUAGAUAUUUGGAAGAACACCGGUGGCGAAGGCGGCUACCUGGUCCGAUACUGACGCUGAGGUGCGAAAGCGUGGGGAGCGAACAGGAUUAGAUACCCGCGUAGUCC
RNAcentral lists this ribosomal RNA (277 nucleotides) under uncultured bacterium. RNAcentral's name for it is "partial 16S ribosomal RNA". It matches the Rfam family "Bacterial small subunit ribosomal RNA", at positions 524 to 796 of the family's 1533-position model. The record is from RNAcentral.